This is a long non-coding RNA of Equus quagga, 1126 nucleotides long. RefSeq lists it as uncharacterized. The transcript is spliced from 3 exons. NCBI's taxonomy places the organism in Eukaryota, Metazoa, Chordata, Mammalia, Perissodactyla, Equidae. The record is from RefSeq and is a predicted model, not a curated record.
UUUACACUGUCUACUGCACGGAAAGUGUGAGGAGAGCAAAUCGUUAUUUGCUGUUCUGUUUCCUGACUUUAUCGUUGAAACAAUAUGUCAAUCAAAGUAAGAGGUACCUUCUUAGAUUAUUCAUCGACUGAAGAUGAGAAAACUGAGCCCAAGGUCAUACAGAAAUGGGAGCCACCUCUGGAAAUCCAGGCCAGAGCCCCCACUGUCAACCACUGCCCGGCACUGCACUGCUGCUGAUAUAUUAGGUACUCAAUAAAAGAUAAAUGAAUGCACAACUGGACCAUGAUAUAAGGCAGUGUGUGAGGGAGACAGAGAGAGAGAGAGAGAAGAGGAAGAAGAGAGAAAAAUGGAGAGCAAUGGGGUGUGAUCCUUCCCAUGAAACUGUCUCCAAAUCCUUCUAAAGGUUCUAAACUCAAAAAAUGUUUGAGUGUGAGUUGAUUUUUGUAGGAACCAGUGAACAGAUUGGGCUUCCUGCCUGGAUUGAUGUGUAGGAGCAUAGAGGCAGAAGCCCAAGGAAGCCAGUCCUGUGCGCUCACAAGAAUCGUGAGGAGGACUUUGCCUUUUACAAUCCUAUAGAAUUUGGGUUUGUCCAAGCUUAAACAGAUCUCUAAGUUCUCUGUUUGACAUCUGUGUUUCAUUCUGGGGUCCCGUCCAGUAUCGUUUGAAUUAAGGAGCAGAGCUGAACCAGGAGUACAGCCUUAUAAUGACUUCCAAACUGUGGGGUGCCCUGUGCAGGGAGAUUAGGGGUUUGUUGGAUUGGCUGAAAAUCUUGAUGAUUUUGGAAAUUCCAUUUAAAUUUAGAGUAAAGUUGUAGAAACCAUUCUGAGAUAGGCAAUACAGCCUUUGGGGAAAACGCUCUGUUUAAUGUUGACUAUUCAGAAAAAAGCCAGGUAUACGCUGAAUCAUAAACAAGAAGGGUGGUAACUUCUGUCAAUAUAAGAGACAUAAAAACAGACAUAGGAUUUCCUGGUAUGCAAUGUGGUUUUGUUAAUGGAGAGAAGAGACAUUUUGUGGCAAACUCCUACUAGCAGGAAAAACCAUGGCUUUUCCAGAAAUUAAGGUCAGGAAAUGGGAAAGAAGCCAGAGAGGAUAACUACUCCAGCGCCAUGAGCAAAGGUGCUCAUAU